GGGCGGUUAGCUCAGUGGUAGAGCACUGCCUUCACACGGCAGGGGUCACAAGUUCGAACCUUGUACCGCCCA
This 72-nucleotide transfer RNA is filed under the name Paralcaligenes ureilyticus. RNAcentral describes it as "Alcaligenes sp. GR24-5 tRNA". It matches the Rfam family "tRNA". From Rfam's summary of the family: Transfer RNA (tRNA) molecules are approximately 80 nucleotides in length. The record is from Rfam by way of RNAcentral. RNAcentral also lists the same sequence under 4 other names. Lineage: Bacteria; Pseudomonadati; Pseudomonadota; Betaproteobacteria; Burkholderiales; Alcaligenaceae.